CACAGACAUGUGGGCAGAGGGCACUUCCCUGAGGCCAUGGUGACUGACUGAUGAAGGCAAAGACAGACAGAAGGCCAGGUCUGCUGAGUAGGCCAGAACAGAGGAUGCUAAGGACAGGAGCAGAAGAGAGGAGACGAGGGCAGAGGAGACGUGGUCCAGGAACAGAGGAAAGAAGGGACUGAGGCACAGCAGAGAGGCUGAGAUAGAGACAGACCUAUUGGAGCAGAAGAACCCAACACCUCAGUGACACUGACUCCGAAUGGGAGCCCCCAGUGUCAAGGUGUCCAUCCCCAAUUGAAGCUUGUUCAUCCUGCCGGACACCUGUUGUCUCAGUGCUACUGGGGCAUGGACCGCAAAAAAAAUGUCCCCAUUCCAUCUGCAAUAAAGGACUACAACAAGAGCAUGGGAGGUGUGGACCUGUCAGAUGCACUGAUAGGCUAUUACAAUGUUCUCCAUAAGACGAUGAAAUGGUACAAGACCUUCUUCUAUCAUUUCAUCGACAUUGCUGUGGUGAAUGCAUUCAUCCUACACAAGGAAAUGGCUAAGAGCUGUGGAAAGCCCCCAUCUCACAGCUAGCCUUCAGAAAGCUGCUCAUCAAGGAGCUUGCUGGCUAUAGCACCACUGCACCACAUUCUGGCCCCUCUACCUCUGUCCCUUCUGCUCCUGCCACAAGUGGUGUUCAUCUGCCCAAAUGUAUUUCUGCAGGCAUAAAAGGGCACAGCAUGGAGGCGUCGCUGUGUUCUUUGCAAAAUGAAGUCCCCCAUCACCUGCACCACAUGCUUGGUGACUCUCUGCUUUACAGCAGAAAUAGACUGCUAUGGCACCUGGCAUCAGCAGCACAAUAUUGUGUAGAGGACUGAGGGUCUUCCAAAUAUUGAAAGUGUUAUUUUGUAAAUGUAUUUUUUCCCCCAUGUUUUUUCUCCAUUUUUUUGGCGGGGUGUGUUAGAAUACCAUUUUGGUAUUUUGUAUAUAGUUAUUCCAUUCGAAAUGUAUAACUUCACAAUUUUGGCCACUUGGGUACAUUUGGGAUACUUGUGUGGGACACCUGGGUGACUUCAUGAUAAAUGUCAUGUAGCACACUCAUUUUGGAAGUUAUCAUUCUGAAACUUUGCACAAGUACUGUUGCCCUCUUAUGUUUUUCACUGAAAUUGUCCCCAUCAUCCUAUCUGAAUGUUUGUUUUGUCUUGUUCAUUUUAAAGAUGAUGAUACAACAAUAAAAAUAAAAAACGUAUGGUUUUUCAUUGUGUUAUCUAAACCAGAUCUAUUGUGUUAUAUUCUCCUACAUUCAAUUCACAUUUACACAAACUUCA
Molecule: long non-coding RNA, 1310 nt
Organism: Oncorhynchus keta (chum salmon)
Lineage: Eukaryota; Metazoa; Chordata; Actinopteri; Salmoniformes; Salmonidae
Exons: 3
Source: RefSeq, a predicted model, not a curated record